UGCCUAACACAUGCAAGUCAAACGGGUCAGUAGGUGUAGCAAUACAUCUAUUGGCUAGUGGCAAACGGGUGAGUAAUGCAUAGGUAACCUUCCCUUUAGUCUGGGAUAACCUCGGGAAACCGGGGCUAAUACCGGAUAUUAUCCCAACCUCAUAAGAGGAUGGGAUGAAAGGUUUUUCGCUAAAGGACGGGCUUAUGUCUGAUUAGCUAGUUGGUGGGGUAAUGGCCUACCAAGGCGACGAUCAGUAGCCGGCCUGAGAGGGUGUCCGGCCACACUGGGACUGAGACACGGCCCAGACUCCUACGGGAGGCAGCAGUGGGGAAUAUUGCGCAAUGGACGAAAGUCUGACGCAGCGACGCCGCGUGAGCGUCUAAGUCUUUCGGGAUGUAAAGCUC
This 395-nucleotide ribosomal RNA is filed under the name uncultured organism. RNAcentral's name for it is "bacterial SSU rRNA". It matches the Rfam family "Bacterial small subunit ribosomal RNA", at positions 45 to 433 of the family's 1533-position model. The record is from RNAcentral.